This 745-nucleotide small RNA is filed under the name Pongo abelii (Sumatran orangutan). RNAcentral's name for it is "processed transcript". The record is from RNAcentral. Lineage: Eukaryota; Metazoa; Chordata; Mammalia; Primates; Hominidae.
UUUAGCUCCGGAGCUUCCAGAGUCCUGGCCCUGAGCGGGAAUCGCAGUGGCCGAGGCUGAGCGGCAGGGCAGCGCGGGAUCUGGGGCCGUCGGUCCGGUGGAGGCCGCCAUUCGCACGAAGUUGGAGCAGGCCCUGAGCCCCGAGGUGCUAGAACUUCGCAACGAGAGCGGUGGCCACGCGGUCCCGCCUGGCAGUGAGACGCACUUCCGCGUGGCUGUGGUGAGCUCUCGUUUCGAGGGACUGAGCCCCCUACAACGACACCGGCUGAUCCACGCAGCACUGGCCGAGGAGCUGGCAGGGCCGGUCCAUGCGCUGGCCAUCCAGGCACGGACCCCCGCCCAGUGGGGAGAGAACUCUCAGCUGGACACUAGCCCCCCAUGCCUGGGUGGAAACAAGAAAACUCUAGGAACCCCCUGAACCCCAAGAGAGAGGGAGGACCAGGAUCCGAAUGGGCUGGGUGAGCACGAAUUACUGAGGCCUUCCCUUUGAUACAGUCCAGGAUUUGUAAGGGAUGAAGACCCCUGGGCCCCAUUCUGUUGGGGUCCAUACGUAUUCUCCGAAGAUAGCAACUUGCUUCAGGUCAAAGUGAACCCGAGAAAAGAGAAGAAUCACUCACUACUGCUCCUGCCCUGGACUAUUCAGGAAGGGCAGCCCGGAUGUUCCAUGUUAAAUCGUGACAGAACUGCACCAGACCUGAUGAGUUGGAAACAAUCCUAUACAGUAAAAGAAAUUACACUGUGAGGC